GUUAGUUUAGCGUAAGGCCCAAUGAGUAACUGUUAGACUAACUGUUUUGCAACGGCUCAUGUCCUCAGGGCCGUCAUUUAUUGCGCGCAUUAAGCUGAUUAGCUUAUCAUGGUUUUGUUGUUCAGCGCGCGCCCAACCAUGCAUCUUGCAUGCCACCGUAUAGCAACGCCUUCGACAACGCUUCCAUUCCUACACAAACCAACUCCGAAAUGGCCAACGUCGUCCCGAUAAUGCCGAACUCGUAAGGAGCGAACUGGCAUGAUCCGAGUGAGUGCGCUGCGCUUGCUUUGAUUCCCGCUAUUCGGCAGGGCGCCAAAGUCAUGUGUUCCGCGUCCAUAACCUCCGCAACUGACUUCGUGAAUCGGCGGGCGAACGCUGCAUUCUCGGGUUUCGCAUAGGUUUAAGUCAACAUGGUAUCUUCCCCGAGCCGUGUUGGUACACACCUUAAAGCGCAGCUUGGUUCAGCUGCGCCAUUAAGGAAGUAACCUGCUGUUGCAUUUGCAGGAAGAACGCCAUCGGAUCCGGGGCGGUGGGUGGGUAUUGUUGACUUGUAGGUUGAGCAUUGAGUUUUUGGGUUCGUCGUGUCACCUGACUAAGUGCUAGUGGGAGCCAUCUCAGCCAGUCUACCAUUUUGGCAUUACUAUCAAAUUGGCAGCCGAUGUGUGUUUGUUACAUGGUCGUGGGUGUGUUCCCCGUACCUGAAACCGCCCUAAUAUGAGCCGGGGGCUCAAGGGCUGCCAGAUCGCCUGUAAGCACCAUCCUACCUCGCAUUUCAGGCAAAGCAAGUGGUAAAGGAUAUUAACGACCAAAGGGAACGAUAAAGUUGCGGUGGGACCAUAUAUGUUCCAGCAUCCUUGCCAGGCGUUCAGGUUCCCACUUCACUUCAUAGCAUCCUUCAUAUGCUCGAAGCGUGGGAAAUCCAUAUCAGAUCUGAUUUUGUCGUACACUGGACAGUCCAGCAAAAAUUGCUUCUCAUCCUCGAUAUGACUAUCAGUGCCGCAGCACAGGGGCAUACUCACUCCUCCCUAGGUAGGUAACACCGUCCCUUACACGCUCUGUUAGCCGCCAAUGCCAAACAGCAAAGCCUAAACUGCAUAAGCUUGCAAUUCGCUGAACGCGGGAUAAACGUUGUGAUAUGCGGGAGCACCUCCUUCCUGUCCGCUUGCUCGGCCCCCAGACCCAUCCAAUGCUUAUACUUCGCCAUGUGGAUUCCUGGUUGCUUGCCGUCUGACAGGUACAUGUCUGGCUGGACAUCUAGACGUGUAUGCUUCCAACCACUCACCAAUCGGUCCUUGAACUCAAAUACCACACCUUCUGCCUGUUCAUCAGCCAUUCCACUUGUUCGUCUACUUCGUGUGGCCCUUGCGGGGGCCUCUUUCCGUACAUUGAGCCCCAGAAAACCUAGAAAACGGAGGAUUAGUGCCCCCCAUCCGGCCCCUUCGGGGUUGAAGAGGGACUCUGCGACCUCCUGUCGCAAAACUUGGUGUGCCACAGACCCACGCUGUAAACGGACACGGUUCCAAAACCUCACGAUCUGUUUGAAAACGGGGUAGUGUAGGGGUAGCUGCGACAAUUCAGGCGAUGUGUUGGUCUGGCAGCUCCCACAAUUUGUCGCAUGAACGAUAUCUGAAGCUGCACCGCUCCGUCCUUUAGGCAUGCCACGAAGGGCCCUCCGGC
RNAcentral lists this long non-coding RNA (1677 nucleotides) under Volvox carteri. Its description in RNAcentral is "long non-coding RNA (VCAR_LNC000855)". Lineage: Eukaryota; Viridiplantae; Chlorophyta; Chlorophyceae; Chlamydomonadales; Volvocaceae. The record is from RNAcentral.